CAACCUUGACCAUUGGAUCUUGCUGAGGUUUAAUCUCAGCCCUUUAAACUCACUUUUUUAACCGUUGUAUCAAUAGUUAUCGACGGUUUCUUUGUCGGUUAAGGUUUUGCCCCACGUUUUCCACCUCCCAUGAUUUUAGGCUGCCCAGCAGUUGUCUCGUAUCUCUUCCCCACCCAUAAAACUACCAUCUCACCUCCACAGCCCGGCGACAAUGAGGAGAAUUUCUACGGUUCCAAGAGUUCGAGACGUGAUUUCAUCCACAGGAUGUUUAGGGUCAGAACACUGUCAAUUCUGCAAUUUUUGGCCAUUCUUGCAGAUGAAUCUGGUAACAAAUAGCCUUAUAUUAUGUGUUCAAGAAGCAAAUCCACGACGAAGUUGAAACAGGGAAAGGCAAUUGGGAUAAUUCAAGAACCACUCUACAAAACAUACCCUGCCAUCGCUACAGAAAGGAAGAAGAACACGAGAUUGGGAUUUGGGGGAUUCUAGCCACUACUCUUGCUAUGUUUUCAAGGCAUUGAUUCUCUAUGUUGCCAGAUGUUUAAAUAAUGGAUCAGGAUUCUCGAAAGGAACACUUAGUGGUUGCUCAUAGUUUGUCUUCACAAUUGGCCACACAAGAAGGUCUGCUAUUCUUGCCUGUUUUCAAUUUCCUAAUUAAUAAAAAGUAGACCAAAUUACUUAGUUUGGUGGUAUGAUAUUUGUUAAAUUUUGAUCUUUUAAUAUGUAUUUUGGACCUGUGGUCAGGACAAAAUAAAAUAGGGUCUAUGAUUAAGUUUAACAAGCAUAUGUAUAUGCUUUAAAAGGAUACAUGUGUCAGUGUUAUGGCCAUUCGAUAUUCAGAUAUUACACGGUGAACCUUGAUUCACAUCACAAGAUUCUUACACGUUUAACAACAACUAACUAAGCCAUUAACAUAUUUAUAAUUUGUGGUUCAAUCUGAACAUCUUGAAGAAUUUUAAGAAAAGAGUUAUGCUAUUUCCCUUGGAUAUAUUGGUUUAAAUUAUAUUCUUUCUUUUUUGUCUAACCUUUAGACUUCAAGUUGAGGUGGGAUGGUUCUCUAAAGCGAUGUGCAGGAUUUCAGUAAGCCAUAUGAAUUGCUAAUUGAGUAAUUAUGUUUAUCGUUGGUGAUAUAUGAUGAUAUCAACAUGGUCCCUAUUCUAAAUAUAUUGUAUUUUAGUAUCUCUACUUGUGAGAUGCAAGUCGCAUGUUCAUUGCUUUCAGAUAUUUUUGCCAUAUGUGGUUAAUACGCUAUCUUUUAAAUGAUGCAUGCUUGAGCAGCAUCCGAAUCUGGAGGGGAUGAUGGAAUAUUGCAGCCCCGUCUACUAAAAGCUUUUUGCUUUGAGAGAUGUUGGGGGAAUUGAAAGAUAAUACGAUUGUAUAUGUGAGAUUAAAAACCAUGUAAUCACUUUGGAAGGAUCCUCCAUGUUCAGAAGCAUUAAUAGCAUUAAUCAAACGACAUAAGAUACUUAGGAUCCUAAGUUAGUUCACAUUCUUCUUCAAAACGCAUAAAUUGACAUACAAGCUGCCAAUAAUCUAGAUUCUAGAAGAAAUUUAAGUUUUUUAAUUUCCUAAGUUGAAAUUCCAAUUGCUUCAGUGAACAGUUGGAUUUGUUUCCGGUUGGAUACAGGUAUUCUUACCUUUUUCGGUCUACUUUUUAGACUUGAUUGCCGGUUGGAUUGUCUAUGAUCCCAACCUAGCUCGGUCACCUCGAGUAGCCAUAGUGUCGCUAGGAACUGGAAACAAUUUCCCAUUUGCAUUGUGUUCAUUAGACAAUUCAUAGUUAAAUUGGUUUAAUAGUUUUGUAUGAGUGAGAAGCUUAACAUUAUUUAUAUUGUUUUGCAGGGGAAGAAAAAGUCGGGCACCGGCCUUGAAUCUGACAAUGUGUUUAUGAAUCAAUUAAAGAUGCUAAAUAGAUUAAUGUUGAUAGUUUCAGUUUCAUUACCUGAUUCACCCAUUUGCAACUGGUUCAACUCAGAUUGAGCAUCCGGAUUGGGUACAAUGAGGUCAGCUCGGCAGACUGGACAUGUGGCAUGAGAAGCUAACCACGAAUUCAGUCAAGAUGAAACACAUGAUGGCAAUUCGGUAGAAACCGAAGGCGUUCGUGGUCCGCAAACUCGGAUAAGCACACAGCACAUUCCAAGCAUCCUUUGCCAAUUUUGAGUUCUUUUACAUCAGAAUAAAGAAACACUGGAAACGACUCAACUAUUUUUUUUUAUCAAGGCCGCAUGGGAAUUUUAUUCGCGAAGCGCGAUUGGUCCCUAGCGGAUGAGGCAGGCGAGACUCGAAAGAAGAGGUGUCUAAACACUUGCGAAAGUAUAACGAAAAAAACAAAAUUAAACUCAAGCUGAAGAUGACUGCAAUUAUUAUGAUUUUCAUGGUAGAAUUGAGGUUUAGCCCGAUAUCAUACGGGUAUGCUGGAGUAGAACGUUUGAAUGAUUGAGAGGCGGCUAACGGUAAUGCGAGCAUCACCGGUAAUGAGAUGAUGAAUAAUGGAUGAGAAAUGUAAUGUGUUUCCAUAUUGAGUUUGAUCAAAACAAGAAAGUGAUGGGGGAAUAUAUGGUGGUUGGAAACACGAGCAAAACAAUAGUGAUCUUCGAACAAAACAAUAGUGAUCUUCAGGUUAGUUAUUAAAAUCGUUUUGGUCGUGAAAAUCAUUCAUGAAAUGAGGAAAUAAACGAAAUUAGUAGGCACAUGAAAGGGGUCAUCUUUUACAAUAGGUGAAUGUUUUGAAUGUGAGGAUUUGAUAUUGUAAAAUGAAGUUUAUCAUGUACGUAUAUUAUUAUAUCAUGAUUUUUGAGUUCAUAUAA
Long non-coding RNA from Helianthus annuus (common sunflower), 2804 nucleotides. RefSeq lists it as uncharacterized. Lineage: Eukaryota; Viridiplantae; Streptophyta; Magnoliopsida; Asterales; Asteraceae. The record is from RefSeq and is a predicted model, not a curated record. The transcript has 5 exons.